RNAcentral lists this transfer RNA (69 nucleotides) under Muntiacus reevesi (Reeves' muntjac). It matches the Rfam family "tRNA". From Rfam's summary of the family: Transfer RNA (tRNA) molecules are approximately 80 nucleotides in length. Their secondary structure includes four short double-helical elements and three loops (D, anti-codon, and T loops). Lineage: Eukaryota; Metazoa; Chordata; Mammalia; Artiodactyla; Cervidae. The record is from Rfam by way of RNAcentral. RNAcentral also lists the same sequence under 8 other names.
CCUGGUGGCUCAGACGGUAAAGCGUCUGCCUACAAUGCAGGAGACCCAGGUUCAAUCCCUGGGUCAGGA